UUGUUCCUACGGGAGGCAGCAGUGAGGAAUAUUGGUCAAUGGGCGCGAGCCUGAACCAGCCAAGUCGCGUGAGGGAAGACGGUCCUAUGGGUUGUAAACCUCUUUUGCCGGGGAGCAAGCCUGAGCACGUGUGCCCAGGCGGAGAGUACCCGGAGAAAAAGCAUCGGCUAACUCCGUGCCAGCAGCCGCGGUAAUACAGGGGAUGCGAGCGUUAUCCGGAUUUAUUGGGUUUAAAGGGUGCGCAGGCGGGCUGUUAAGCCGGCGGUAAAAAUUCAGGGCUCAACCCUGUCGAGCCGUCGGAACUG
This 305-nucleotide ribosomal RNA is filed under the name uncultured bacterium. Its description in RNAcentral is "bacterial SSU rRNA". It matches the Rfam family "Bacterial small subunit ribosomal RNA", at positions 333 to 635 of the family's 1533-position model. The record is from RNAcentral.